RNAcentral lists this ribosomal RNA (380 nucleotides) under uncultured bacterium. RNAcentral's name for it is "bacterial SSU rRNA". It matches the Rfam family "Bacterial small subunit ribosomal RNA", at positions 29 to 437 of the family's 1533-position model. The record is from RNAcentral.
AGCGAACGCUGGCGGCAGGCCUAACACAUGCAAGUCGAACGGCUCUUCGGAGCAGUGGCGGACGGGUGAGUAACACGUGGGAACGUGCCCUUUGGUACGGAACAACUGAGGGAAACUUCAGCUAAAACCGUAUGUGCCCUAACGGGGAAAGAUUUAUCGCCAAAGGAGCGGCCCGCGUUGGAUUAGGUAGUUGGUGGGGUAAAGGCCCACCAAGCCUACGAUCCAUAGCUGGUCUGAGAGGAUGAUCAGCCACACUGGGACUGAGACACGGCCCAGACUCCUACGGGAGGCAGCAGUGGGGAAUCUUGCGCAAUGGGCGAAAGCCUGACGCAGCCAUGCCGCGUGAAUGAUGAAGGUCUUAGGGAUUGUAAAAUUCUUUU